Molecule: ribosomal RNA, 253 nt
Filed under: uncultured bacterium
Lineage: Bacteria
Description: partial 16S ribosomal RNA
Rfam family: Bacterial small subunit ribosomal RNA
Source: RNAcentral
UACGUAGGUGGCAAGCGUUGUCCGGAAUUAUUGGGCGUAAAGCGCGCGCAGGCGGCCUCUUAAGUCUGAUGUGAAAGCCCCCGGCUCAACCGGGGAGGGCCAUUGGAAACUGGGAGGCUUGAGUAUAGGGGAGAAGAGUGGAAUUCCACGUGUAGCGGUGAAAUGCGUAGAGAUGUGGAGGAACACCAGUGGCGAAGGCGACUCUUUGGCCUAUAACUGACGCUGAGGCGCGAAAGCGUGGGGAGCAAACAGG